AGAGGUCCCAAGCGUUGUUCGGAUUCACUGGGCGUAAAGGGUGCGUAGGUGGCGGGGUAAGUCUGAUGUGAAAUCUCCGAGCUUAACUCGGAAACUGCAUCGGAUACUGCUUUGCUCGAGGGUUGGAGGGGGGACUGGAAUACUUGGUGUAGCAGUGAAAUGCGUAGAUAUCAAGUGGAACACCAGUGGCGAAGGCGAGUCCCUGGACAACUCCUGACACUGAGGCACGAAAGCUAGGGGAGCAAACAGGAUUAGAUACCCUGGUAGUCCUAGCUGUAAACGGUGCACGUUUGCUGUAAGUGGAAUCGACCCCACUUGUGGCGUAGCCAACGCGAUAAACGUGCCGCCUGGGAAGUACGGUCGCAAGAUUA
This 371-nucleotide ribosomal RNA is filed under the name uncultured bacterium. RNAcentral's name for it is "bacterial SSU rRNA". It matches the Rfam family "Bacterial small subunit ribosomal RNA", at positions 527 to 896 of the family's 1533-position model. The record is from RNAcentral.